Molecule: transfer RNA, 66 nt
Filed under: Salea horsfieldii
Lineage: Eukaryota; Metazoa; Chordata; Lepidosauria; Squamata; Agamidae
Description: tRNA-Ile
Source: RNAcentral
UGUGCCCGAAACCUUAGGGACUAUUUUGAUAAAAUAGACAUAGAGCCCAUAAAUCUCUCAUUUCUC